Molecule: ribosomal RNA, 773 nt
Filed under: uncultured Neocallimastigales
Lineage: Eukaryota; Fungi; Neocallimastigomycota; Neocallimastigomycetes; Neocallimastigales
Description: partial large subunit ribosomal RNA
Rfam family: Eukaryotic large subunit ribosomal RNA
Source: RNAcentral
UAUCUCUGUAGAGUCUGCAUAUCAAUAAGCGGAGGAAAAGAAACUAACAAGGAUUCCCUUAGUAACGGCGAGUGAAGCGGGAAGAGCUCAAAUUUGAAAUCUUCAAGGUUCUACCUUGACGAAUUGUAGUUUAAAGAAGUGUUUUCUGUUAGAUGAGUAGCAAAAGUUCCUUGGAAUGGGACAUCAUAGAGGGUGAGAAUCCCGUAUUUGGUUAUUCAUUCUAGCUUUGUGAUACACUUUCAAAGAGUCGGAUUGUUUGGGAAUGCAGUCCAAAAUGGGUGGUAAAUUUCAUCUAAAGCUAAAUAUUGGCGAGAGACCGAUAGCGAACAAGUACCGUGAGGGAAAGAUGAAAAGAACUUUGAAAAGAGAGUUAAACAGUACGUGAAAUUGUCAAAAGGGAAGCGUUUGACACCAGUGUUGUUUUUCCAAAAUCAAUUACGAAUGGCUUGAUUUUGUGUUGUAUUGACCUUAUCAGCUUUCUUCACUUUUUUCGAGUCUUUCUUAAUGCACUUUUCGGUUAACAAGUCAACAUCAAUUUCUUUUGUUGUAAAAGAGUAUUCGGAAGGUGGCUUUCUUUUCGGAGAAAGUGUUUAUAGCCCUAUACUUCUACAAUCGGAGAGAUUGAGGUCUGCAGCGUAGAUCCUUCGGGGUUAGAUACACUUGUGCUAAGUUGUAGCUUUUCAUAGACAACUUGUUGACUAUGUUUAGUCAUGCGGCUUACUCGCUUGUGCUAUUUUACCUACGCUUAGGAUGUUGACUGAUAUGUAGUCGUA